AUACGUAGGGUGCGAGCGUUGUCCGGAAUUACUGGGCGUAAAGAGCUCGUAGGUGGUUUGUCGCGUCGUCUGUGAAAUUCCGGGGCUUAACUCCGGGCGUGCAGGCGAUACGGGCAUAACUUGAGUACUGUAGGGGAGACUGGAAUUCCUGGUGUAGCGGUGAAAUGCGCAGAUAUCAGGAGGAACACCGGUGGCGAAGGCGGGUCUCUGGGCAGUAACUGACGCUGAGGAGGGAAAGCAUGGGUAGCGAACAGGAUGAGAUCCCCUGGUAGUCCAUGCCGUAAACGGUGGGCGCUAGGUGUAGGGGUCUUCCACGGCUUCUGUGCCGUAGCUAACGCAUUAAGUGCCCCGCCUGGGGAGUACGGCCGCAAGGCUAAAACUCAAAUGAAUUGACGGGG
Molecule: ribosomal RNA, 398 nt
Filed under: uncultured bacterium
Lineage: Bacteria
Description: partial 16S ribosomal RNA
Rfam family: Bacterial small subunit ribosomal RNA
Source: RNAcentral